This 150-nucleotide non-coding RNA is filed under the name uncultured Pleomorphomonas sp. Its description in RNAcentral is "FMN". It matches the Rfam family "FMN riboswitch aptamer (RFN element)". From Rfam's summary of the family: The RFN element is a highly conserved domain that is found frequently in the 5'-untranslated regions of prokaryotic mRNAs that encode for flavin mononucleotide (FMN) biosynthesis and transport proteins. This element is a metabolite-dependent riboswitch that directly binds FMN in the absence of proteins. The record is from RNAcentral. Lineage: Bacteria; Pseudomonadati; Pseudomonadota; Alphaproteobacteria; Hyphomicrobiales; Pleomorphomonadaceae.
AACCAUUCUCGGGGCGGGGCGCAAUUCCCCACCGGCGGUAAUGGCGGCGCGAGCUGCCUAGCCCGCGAGCGCUCCGGCCACAAGCCGGAGGUCAGCAGAUCCGGUUGGAUUCCGGAGCCGACGGUAUAGUCCGGAUGAAAGAGAAGGGUA